RNAcentral lists this ribosomal RNA (253 nucleotides) under uncultured bacterium. RNAcentral's name for it is "partial 16S ribosomal RNA". It matches the Rfam family "Bacterial small subunit ribosomal RNA", at positions 524 to 776 of the family's 1533-position model. The record is from RNAcentral.
UACGAAGGAUGCAAGCGUUAUCCGGAUUUAUUGGGUUUAAAGGGUGCGUAGGCGGACUUAUAAGUCAGUGGUGAAAUCUCGUUGCUUAACAACGAAUGUGCCAUUGAUACUGUAGGUCUUGAGUGCAGAUGCCGUUGGCGGAAUGUGUCAUGUAGCGGUGAAAUGCAUAGAUAUGACACAGAACACCGAUUGCGAAGGCAGCUGACGAAACUGUAACUGACGCUGAGGCACGAAAGCGUGGGGAUCAAACAGG